UCCAUUUCGGAACGAACCUGAAUUGUCCGAUUUCAUGGACCAAUCGAUAUCGGAUUGAGUCCAAAACUUGGGGAACAUCAUAAUAUUGUGGGAGGAGUCAUUUGGUGGGUUUUAAGUCAAAAUAUAAUCCCUAGACCUAUACAAUUCACCAACCACUCCAUUUCAGAAUGAACUUCAUACAAACCCGAAUUGUCCGAUUAUGUGGACCAAUCGAUAUCGGAUUGAGUCCAAAACUUGGGGAACAUCAUAAUAUUGUGGGCG
This 261-nucleotide long non-coding RNA is filed under the name Prunus persica (peach). RNAcentral describes it as "long non-coding RNA (PPER_LNC008090)". The record is from RNAcentral. Lineage: Eukaryota; Viridiplantae; Streptophyta; Magnoliopsida; Rosales; Rosaceae.